CCCUCGCCACCAAGCCAGCGAACUUGGAUCAGGUACUAACUUUGAUCAGAUUUUUCUUUACCUUAACAUCAAGCCAUCGGCUGGGCGUAGGAAGCUAGCUCAUGGGAAACAAACCUUGGUGGCUCAUACUCUGUAGCAAGCAAAGCAAUCUGGUUUCAUAAACACCAACUCUCCCUUUCAAUUAUUAAGAGUGCCAUAAUCAUAAGAACCUGCACUUGCGAAAACAAAAUUAAUAAUGACUAAAAUGAUGGACAUCAUUCAAAGUUCAUGGGAAGAUUCCUCAUGGUGGAUUUAGGUCAAAAUUCAGAAUCUAUACUACUAUUAAAAGAGCAAACAUGAUUUCCCCUACAGACACACCACAAAGUGUACACAGGAUUACCAGAGGCAUUCGAUCAAUCCAACUAAAUCAUAUCUAAUAGUCCAUAUUACAUCAAGGGUCUGCCACACAAAUGAACGAUCCAGAUGAAAUGUUCCGCCGGAGCAGACUGCCCAGCGCACCCCUUCGUCCACAAUUAGCAGGGAUAGAGGAUUUCAAUCCCAUAAUUUUCUCUCUGCCCUCAGAAUCACGAGCUGUCACUCCUUUGCUGCCGCACGGGCACCAACGUGGAUCCCCAUCACCCACCCACUGCUCCUCCUCUGUUGGCUGUCGCCCCAUGGGCACGAGCGCUAAUCGAUGUUGCUGCGGUUCUCUCCUCUUCUGCUACCCAACGGACGCGAACACAGGACUCAGUCGCCACUGUCCGCUCCUCUACAGCCCCAAGGACACGAGCGCAGGCUGCCGUCGCUGCUUGCUGCUCUCCUCUGCUGCCCAUGGAUGCCAGCGAGGAUCUCUGACGCCACCGUCCGCGAGGAUCUCCGGCGCCACCGUCCACGAGGACCUCUGCUGCUCCACGGACGUGAGCGUGGGGCACCGUGGCCGCCUGCAGAUCUGCUCUGCUGACCCACGGAUGCGAGCGCAGGUUGCCGGCGUCGCCACAUUGUGGCCCUCGCCACCAAGCCAACAAACUUGGAUCAGGUACUAACUUUGAUCAGAUUUUUCCUAUCGGCUGGGCGUAGGAAGCUAGCUCAUGGGAAACAAACCUUGGUGGGUCAUACUCUGUAGCAAGCAAAGCGAUCUGGUUUCAUGAACACCAACUCUCCCCUUUCAUUAUUAAGAGUGCCAUAAUCAGAAGAACUUGCACUUGUGAAAACAAAAUUAAUAAUGACUAAAAUGAUGGACAUCAUUCAAAGUUCAUGGGCAGAUUCCUCAUUGUAGAUUUGGGUCAAAAUUCUAAAAUACAAAGAGUAACAAAAAUAACAUGAGUACAAUUGUGCUCCUAUUUCUUAAUAUACCGAGUGAAAAUAAAUACAAUGGCCUAUAAUAUAGAGUUUAUGUGCUUUGCAUUAAACUGAAUGCAUGGCAACUGAUCAUUUCUCCAAUCUGUUCUGUUAUAUAAGUAAGCACAUAAUUGGGAGGACUGACAUCCAACUUGGGUAAACGAAAGAAUUAGCAACAUAAUUUAGGAGAUGCCUAUCUUUUGUAGCAUGAAAGUCAGAUAGUCAACAAGUUCUGGAUCAACAAGACCCUGAGCAGAAAAGGUAGACAACAUCCAGCAAAAGGUAGACUCGGUUCUUUCACUCAUGCUUCUCUGGAUUUCUACUUGCUAAAUCCAGUACAUGCUUCUCUGAAUUUCGACAACCUAAGUUCAGUACAUGCUUCUCUCAAUGUUGGCCUGCCAAUUGGUAUUGUAUUGCAGACUUGAGAGUACUGUAUGCAAUCCAUUUGUGCCAAUGGAUUACCAAAUUUUUAUGUUACUUUUAGGCCAUUUGAAUGAAAGGACCUCUAUGACAAUCUACGACAAAACAUUUUGUGCGAAUAAAAUUCAGUACAUGCUUCUCUAAAUAUCUGCAACACAAUUAAGCAAAAUUUGUUCGUAUAUGUUGGCCUGCCAAUUGGUUUUGGGUACUAUGCAUGCAUGUUUCUCAAAUGCAUACUCCAAGUGCCACUUAUGUGCUUAAUAAGGUGAACUUCUGUUUAAAUAAUAAUGUUGGUUUGCCGAAGUUUUCUUGUACGAUACACACUAGCUGCGGGAGGUGAUGUUUUUAAGUUGAAUGGUUUGAGUUUAUGAACCAAAUGGUUGUCUAGUUGCUUCUGAUGUUUGCAACACAAGCAUAUAGAGCUACAAUUGUCAAUCGUUGGAGAAAGCGCUUUUCUGAGACAGCACAUCGAUAAAGACCACUUAUCAAGCAUCACCAUCAGAGGAGAUCAAACUCUUAACAAGGAUGCAAGCGAAGUGAACAUACCUCAGAAUGGAGUUGCUUGCUAUUAUGAAAGCGAGGUGCACUUGGUGUGUACACAUCACUCGGUGAAUCCAAGCUUACUUCC
Molecule: long non-coding RNA, 2365 nt
Filed under: Triticum aestivum (bread wheat)
Lineage: Eukaryota; Viridiplantae; Streptophyta; Magnoliopsida; Poales; Poaceae
Description: long non-coding RNA (TAES_LNC002210)
Source: RNAcentral